RNAcentral lists this long non-coding RNA (1856 nucleotides) under Sus scrofa (pig). Its description in RNAcentral is "lncRNA (ENSSSCG00015038876.1)". Lineage: Eukaryota; Metazoa; Chordata; Mammalia; Artiodactyla; Suidae. The record is from RNAcentral.
GUCUUUAAAAUACUUUAUAGAGUGGGCCGAACGAGUUCAGAGUGGGAUAUUCCACGUGUGGGUUGCUCCUUCUGCCUGGGUCCCUGAGUGAGAAGAACUGCCCAUGGCCUCCAUAUACAUACUCUGUUCUAGGUGCUGAGGAUACGUCAGUUAAGAAGACAGUCAAAAUCCCUGCCCUCAUGAUGCUUAUAUUUUUGUGGUUUGGUCUGAAGACUGGACAGAUUGAGCAUAUUGAAAAGGGAGCUUUCUGCCUAAGCUGUCGGACAAAUUCAGUUCAAAGCCAUAGAUGUUGCUUUGUUCUUCCACUUUAAUUGAAAGAAUGAAGAAUAGCUGCCAGUGGUCCUACAAAUUUGAAGAUUUGAAGCCCAUUACAGUGUUGAAGAUGGUUUUCUUCCCGUUGCCAUCAUUUCAAGUUAGGGUGGAUUUGACUCCGAGAGGCUCAGAGCUGUACGUAAGUGGGACCACUCUUUUUCCUUCUCUGGACCCUGUGGAUGUAUUUCAUGAUCAAAUAGCCUUGCAAGAAGCUAUGGGCCUGCGCACCCGGGGUUGGUGGGGAUCCAAAUGGACCAAGGAGGACAGAAGGCCGGUGACCUGGUUUUUUAAAUCACAGCUCCCGGUCUUUUUCCCUCUAGCUUUCUUCCCCAGGUUUAGGGUCCUCUCCGUGCUUCUCUCCACAGAUCUAAGCCCACUCCUUUCCCAGCAUCCUUUCCUGCGGCUUCUUGUAAAAUGCACAUGGGGACACACUCACACGGCAUCUUGUGUGUAUCCCUUCAUGUUAAUCCUUUACUGCCUGACUUGUUUUUUCCCUAUUUACUUUCUUUACAUCGUUCCAGCAUUUACCCCUGCAACUCGAUAAAGUGCCUCUUGAUUCGCCCUUGUCUCUUUUUGCCUUGUCCCUGCGUCCUGGGUGCCGUCCCUUCUCCCCCAUGGGACUGGACUCCACCCGUAGGAAGGGUAUCUCUUCCUGCCUCUGGAUUUUUCCUUCUGCUCCCUGAACAGGAGGUACUCGUCCUGAACACACCAUCGGAUGAUCCUUCAAGUCAGUGAAUUAUUUCUGAAAUUCUGAUUUAAGAUCUUGCUCUAAAUCUGGAUGGGAAUCCAGCAUUUGUCAAGAGCACAUUUUUGUUUUCUUUUUUUUUUUUUUGCAGGGGACGGGGUGGGUUAAAUGAGAGCUGCAGCUGCUGGCCUACACCACAGCCUCAGCAGCAUGGGGUCCAAGCUGCAUCUGCAACCAGUGCCACAGCUUGCCACAACACUGCGACCAGGAUCAAACCCAAAUCCUCGCAGACACUCUUUUGGGUUCUUAACCUGCUGAUCCACAAUAGGAACUCCAAGAACAAAAUUUUCUUGCUUCUGACAUUAUUAGCUCAGGGGUGACAGGAGAAGUGAGAGAGAGAAAGAGAAACAAAACAAAACCCAUGAUUCUGGAGAUGAGCACAAUUUCUUGGGCCAAUUAACUGAGACAGUUCACAUGUUUAUUAUGUUUAAACUAUUGGGUGAUUAAUUUAGGGAGUUUUAUAGGCAGUUUAAUACUCUACUAGAAUCAGACAUAAGCCAGUUUAUAUAAAAGAAGAAACAACCCUGAGAUAGCUCUACCUCUGAUGAUGACUAUGACAAAUGAAAGAUGGGACAUUAAAGAAUUUUCCAUAAAUUGUAUAGUUCAAAAUGUGGUACAAAUAGGGAGUUCCUGUUGUGGCUCAGUGGAAAUGGAUCUGACUAGGAACCAUGAGGUUGUGGGUUCGAUCCCUGGCCUUGUGCAGUGGGUUAAAGAUCUGGCGUUGCCGUGAGCUGUGGAGGUUGCAGACCUGGCUCAGAUCCCGAGUUGCUGUGGCUGGGGCAUAGGCCGGCGGCUACAG